CGCACGUACGCACGGACGUCCUCCCGAGGGAGGCGGGAACUCGGUUCGCGGGCGCGGAGCGGUCCCGGACCCUCGAAGCCAGUUCCUUGCGUCAGUGCCGCGGCUCUUUAACCCGAAGGGAGAUUUUUUUUUUAAAGCCAGAGGCCGUUGACGCUGGGUAGCCUUUGGCUGGGGUUGGUUAUGAACUCCGACACAGCGGUGGUGCAUACGGAAGGGUGGUAGCCGGGACGGUUCCGGUCCCUGCGAGCGUGUCCCGGGCGUCUCCGCGGAAGUUUCACCUGCCGCGCCGCUCGAUCGCCGGGACCUCCUGGGUCUCUGCUGUGCGUAGACCAGCCGCGUUCCUUUGGGUGGCCGUGGAGCACUAAAGCGGGGCUUAUUGUUUGUUUGGUUUUGGUUUUUUUUUUUGUUUUUUUUUUGCUUUUUGUUUUUGAACUGAGGAUCUAUCAGAAAUAGGCUGAAAAGACCGAGUGAGGAAGAAACUCUUUAACAGCUAUUUUUGGCAUCUUAAGGUGAUUCUCAGGAGUUGCUACGUAUCAGAAUCAACGGAGGAGUUUUUCAAAGCAGAGAUGCCAGGGCCAGUCCCCAGACCUGAAUCAGGAAGUGAGGGAGAGAGCCGACGGAGGGGGAAAAGUCCCUUCAGCUGAUUCUUAUGUAUGUCAGUUUGGAGAGCCACGGAUAUAACCAAUACUGCGUCCUUCUGAGGUCCCACUUUAAGUGUCCUGGGUUGAGCUGGGUGACAAAUGCCCUUACAACAAUGGUAGUAGAAGCUUUCAGGCCAAGCGCAGUGGCUCACGCCUGUAAUCCCAGCACUUUGGGAGGCCGAGGCGGGCAGAUCACUUGAGGUCAGGUCAGGAGUUCGUGGGCAGCCUGGCCAAUAUGGUGAAACCCCGUCUCUACUAAAAAUAUAAAAAUUAGCCGGGUGUAAUGGCGUGCGCCUGUAAUCCGAGCUACUCAGGAGGCUGAGGCAGGAGAAUGGCUUGAACCCGGCAGGAGGCGGAGGCUGCAGUGAGCCGAGAUAGCGCCACUACACUCCAGCCUGGGCGACAGAGCGAAACUCCGUCUCAAAAAAAAAAGAAAAGCUUUCAGAAAGUUGCCUUUUUAUUUGAAAAAAAAAAAAAGGUAUUUGGAGGAUUUUAUGUAGUGCAACAACUGUUUUAGUGUUAAGAUCAUGAAAUGCUUUGGUCUCCUGUUAGUGUUCCCAAGAAAGGUGCUGUAAGUCCUUAAACCACGUGAAAACUUUUUUUUUUUUUGAGACCUCCUCGUUCUGUCGCCCUGGCUGGAGUGCAGUGGCGUCAUCACAUUUCAUUGCAGCCUCGACUUCCCAGGCUCAAGCCGUGCUCCUCGCAAUUACCUGGGACCGUAGAUGCACGCCACCAUGACUUAGCUGAUCUUUUUUUUCCCUUUGCCUCGAAGAGGCUGGGGUCUCACCAUGUUGCCCAGGCUGAAACUCCUGGGCCCGAGCGAUUGGCCCGCCUCAGCCGCUGGAAAUGCUAGCAUUACAGGCAUGAGCCACUGCGCCCAGCCUCCUGAAAACUUUUUAAAAUUUAUUCAAAAAUGUUUCCUGACCUCUUUAUUGUCAUAGUGUUUUAGAGAUACACUGGGAUUACAAAACAGAGGAGCUCCCUGCAUUCAAGGGGUUUACAAUCUAAUAGAGAAAAAGAUUGAGAAUAGAUACAUGCCAGGGAGUGGUAAGUGCUGUGAAGAAAAGAAUAAGUGGGGUAAAAGGGGUUAGAGGUGAUUGAAGAAGGCCCCUGUUGAUCAGAUGAAGGAACCUGUCUUGGAGAAGAGCAGGAGAGGAACACAUAACAAGUGCAAAGGGCCUGAGGGAAACGGAUUCUUGGCUUGUUAGAGGAGGAGUCAGUGUGGCUGGAGUGGCUUGAACAAGGGAGAGAAUAGUAGGACAUGAGAUAAGAGAGUUAUUAAGGGAGCCAGGUCAUGUACAGAAAUGGUCUUCAAUUUUUUUUUUAACUUUUGUGCCCUUUGAAAGAAUUUUGGAAGGCUGUUUUCUUUCCUCAAACAUUGUAAGUUGACUAAAUUUUUUCAGAAGUUUAAAUAGUUGCAGAGUUUAAUUUGUGACAUUCUGUAAUACUGACAUUUAAAAAUUAUUUUUAAUCUAAUAGGGAAGUAAACACUAAAGUGGCUUAAUACUAUCCAUUUUUUAAAGUAUAUUAAAAUGUUAUAUUUUUUAAACAUGGAAAAGUAUUGGGAAUGUUUUAAUGAUAUGGCUGGGAGUCUUCCCCCUUCCCCUAAUUAUUUCGAGUAGGCAUGAAUGCAUAUAACAUUGCUAGAAUGAGAUAAGGUCCUGUAUCAACUCCAUUUUUCAUUGCCACAGUCUUUACUGCAUUAAAAACUAUAUAUGUAUACAUGUAUGUAUCUACACACUCACAUAUAUGAUGGAGUAAUUCCCUUAAAACUACCCUUACUUUUUUAUGUACCCCUUGGAAAAUUUUCCUUCACUGAAGUACCCCAGGAGUACUCAUACCCUAGCCUUAGGACCACUGAGUCAGAUAGGAAGGCUUGGAUGGGUUUUGAGCAAAGACUCAAAGCAGAAUUGUGAAAAGAGUCACUGUGGCUGCUUCCUAGAGGAAUCACCUGUAAAUGGUCAGUGGAAUAAGGAAGACCAGUUAAGGGGCUAAUAGGGUAAUAACUCGGUUGGUUGGAUCAGGUUAGAAUCUGUAAAGGUGGUGAAAAAUAUGGAGUAUAAAUCAUAAACACUUCUUCUCAAAUUCACUUCAAAAAAAUAAGCUAAUGAACUGAAUUUCUCAACCAAAAGUUUUGCUUCCAUGAGUUUUCUUAACCUUUUGAUGCCUGCUACAUUUGCCUUUAUUAAAAUCUAGAAUAAAAGUGUUGUUUUUGAAAACUAUAUAAUUUGUAUAGGAUGGAAACAGCCCCCAUGAAGUUCACUGUGUGCUCUGAGAAGGCAGUGCCUGGAGUAUAACUCAUGAAAUAUUUAGGAUCAUUGAAACAGACCCAGUUACAUCCUUGAUUUUCUGUGGGAGCCCAGAAAUCUUGCAGGAGAAACUAUGAAAUAAGUCCACAGAUGAGGCUGAGAUACGAUAAUGCACAAACCUGUCUAAUAGACUGCAUAGCAUGGGGUUCAUUAUGCCCUGGGACAAAAUGCUUGGUUUGAAUCUGGUUCCAUCACCUACUAGCUAUGUGAUUUAGGGAAACUUACUUAGGUUGCCUCAGUUCCCUCAGUCAUGAAAGGGUGUUUGCUACGGGUAGGACCUACCUCAAGGUUGCCUCACAAACAAUAUUUGUAAAACGUUAAUAACAGCACCCAGCACAUGGUGAACAUGGAUGUUAAAGUAGACCCAAAGUUCCCUGAAGGAAACAGAACUGGCAGGAGAAACACAUGCCACUGAGAGAAAAUUUCAAGAAGAGGAAUCAUGCUGUGGCCCAAACUGAGCAGCAGGUAGAGGUAGAGGCUGUGUCCAGCCAUUUUCCUGACCUAGGCUACUAUCCCUUGUUCCUCUGGUUUGAGCAUUAUCAGAAAAAACCAGUUCUGAAAUAAAGGAAAGAGCUCUUAGGAGGUUCAUAGCAGUUCUGCUAUGAAGAAAACUCCUCUAAGUUGCUGGUAAACAAUAGUGGAAGGAGUUUUCCAGUUGUCUAGGAAAGAGAAAGGGCAUUGGAGGUGAGUGACCCAGGUAGGUAAGCAAUGGUGAGAACACGAUGUGUCCAUCAUCUGGGCACAGGAGGUUGGCAAAAGCAAGGCAGUAGCCCAAGGGUAGCGUGAAGAUUUGCAAAGGCUGGUCUGCACCUUCUGGACAGAGCAGCCAUGCUGAACAGCAGGAACAGAAGAGUACAUGAGAACCGGCAGAAGGAUGCUGAGCUGCAGCUGAAAUCUGGGAUAUUUCUGUAAAUGUACAAUACUUGCACUCACCAAUGGGUGAGGCCAGAGGAUCUAAAGGUGACAUUUUAUCUUUUAAAGUUCACUUCUCAACUGGGUGUGGUGCCUUACACCUGUAAUACCAGCACUUUGGAGGAAAACAGGAGGAUCACUGGAGGCCAGUAGUUCAAGACCAGCCUGGGCGACAUAGCAAGACCCCCAUCUCUACAAAAAAAAUUUAUUAAUACAAAUUUUAAAAAUAAUGUAAAGUUUAGUUCUCAUCAUUCCAUGGUGUACCAAGUACACUUUGACUUCUAGGUACUCUGUUGUCUGAGUGAGAACUAUUAGUACCAAGAAAAGCAGGACAGAUAGCAGAGUUCUGAGUCUAAUUACUAUCUAUUGGCUUUUCUGUGUCUCUAAGGCCUUUCAGGGGCACGUUGUAAUUCUAGUAAUAAACACCACAUUUGAACAGCAGUUUACAGUUGACAAAGUGCUUUCACACACAUCUCUUAAUUUUUGCAACCAGUAAAAUAUAGCUCAACAAUAAAUAGACUUCCUUAUGUGAAUGUACUGUAAUGUAUUAUCUAUUCAUAGACAAUAAGGUUUUCAAUUUUUUACUAUUAUAAACAAUACUGUGAAAAGCAUUGUGAUGCAUAAUUAUUUGCAUAUCUAUAAUUAUUUCUUCUGAAUAUUCCUAAAAGAAUUGCUGAUUCAAAGAAUAUGCCCAUUGUAAAAGUUUUUAAUAUGUAAAUUUAAAGUAUUCCAUAUGGAUUAUUAAAUUGUUUUGAUGUAUUUUGCUACUAUAAAUAAAAAAGUGAAAUUAACAUGCAAU
RNAcentral lists this long non-coding RNA (4661 nucleotides) under Homo sapiens (human). Its description in RNAcentral is "non-protein coding lnc-SYCP1-4:1". The record is from RNAcentral. Lineage: Eukaryota; Metazoa; Chordata; Mammalia; Primates; Hominidae.